RNAcentral lists this long non-coding RNA (1977 nucleotides) under Marmota monax (woodchuck). The record is from RNAcentral. Lineage: Eukaryota; Metazoa; Chordata; Mammalia; Rodentia; Sciuridae.
CUUGAGUCCCGGCCCCUAGGCCUGCGCGGCAGGAACAAGCGACCCCUGGCUGCACGACGGGGCGGAGCCGUCCUGGCGCUGCCACCGCGCCUUAGAGCUCUCGCGCGGCCACGGGAAAGAGUUUCUGGCACUGACGGCAAGACUGGGGUGAGGCCGCGCUCCCUGAGUCUGGGCGCGGCAGGCCGACGGGCGGGGCCAAGAGCACGCGGCGCGACAGACCCUUUACAGCGCCACACGCACCUGGCGGAGCAUCUUAUCCGGGACUCCAGAAUGGGCCCAUGAAACGUGGACCCGGCAUGCCCGAGAAGUAAUAGGCUCGGGGAGGGGGGUGGUGGGUGAACUCGAGUAGAGGUAAGGAAAAAAAUCUUACUGUCUUCCAAAUCCUAAAAGCCUCCCUCUCGGUCCGCCCGCUUCCUGGCAGCCUCACCAGAAGUACUUUGCCAAGCACUUCAGCGGUGUUGGAAACCUUGUUGCAAAGUCGAAACCCAGGCGAGUGGGCGAGACGUGCGGAGAGGUAUGGAUAAAUGGGCACCUUCCCAGACUCCUCUACCCAGUAUUUCUUUCCCCCUUGCUUAGAUAACUGAUGCUUGCAGACAAGUGCCUUCGCUGCCCAUUCCUGAAUAGAGGUGGUCGAGCUCUGUUCGCGAAAAACUGGAUCCUUUAGAACCCAAAGUAUUGUGGAUACGCAAAAACUGAUUUCUCACGAGGUGGCUAGGCAGCAACAAAGGUACUGGCCUGAAGUGCUCCCAGUCCCUGGAACUACUCCCCGCGCCCGGGAGCCAAAAGGCGAGUUCGCCUCGAGGUUACCCCGCUCAGAACGCAGGCGGCUCCCAGACAUGCACUAAUUGAGUCACAAACCAUUCGCCAUCCCUAACAAAACGAUUCAUCUCUGCAGCUCAGCCCCCAAUUUGUCCGCAGCACUUUCUUCUGCAAUUCAGAAGCAUUAUCUUGUUUUUAAAAAGUAUCGCUGCAGAGACGUGGCAAUUAUCUUGGGCUCGGGUUACAAUAAAUGGUUUUAGGUUGAGAAAUGUAAGACUACAAAUGCUGCAAGCGUGCUGAUCGCCUCGCUGCCCAGUCUGGACUCGGGUAAGAAGCUUUUGGCUGGGGCUAGGGAAAUUCUGAACGAGUUCCCACUGUUGUUCUCCUCUCCUGACGAGGAAGAAAGUAGUGUUGGACAUUUGUCCCUUUGUAAAGUUCUCCCAGUCACACCUCUGACCUUGGAGGAAGAAAGGAUUAAUUAUAUCCUGACAUGGCCAGGCCAAGCUUCUGGUCUGAGUCUGGGUUUUGGAUCAGAACUAGGUUGGGAACUUCAGAAACUGCAGGAAUGAGGAACGGAACCGAGGUCAAAGGUCAGCGGGAGAGUUGGGGGAGAAUCCAGUUUCUCUUCUGGACAACUACACUAAAAUUGGGGAGGAGGUAGGCACCGGGGGAAAACAAUAAUAAACUGGAAGAGGAGUGGGCUCCUGAACAAGAGGCAGGCCUGGCUUGGGAAGCCUUGUGCAAAAUAAAACCCUCCGAGAACUGGGAGGCCCAGGGACCAGGCCUCUCCACAUCAGGGGGAGAAAAAUACAUCAUUUUAGUCCGGCAGGGUGAGUAUGGGCCUGGAAAAGAAUACAAGAAGCAUCCGGGUGCCGUCGCUCUGCUAGUAGACGCCUGCUCACCCCAGCAGCCCAGUCGGCCGGCUGUGGCAGCCACACUGUGCGCGUGUCUUUCUCCGGCUCAAACCAGCCCUCACAUCUUGAAGUAAUCAGCAGCCGAGAAGGGACUCGUCCCCCUGGCAUCUCAGGUUAAAGAAGGAGGUCCAGGAAAAUGUGGUAGAGCCAUUACAAGAAAUCCGAGCCGCAGUCAUCAGGGACUCCAAUUGCCAUCGCAUUAGGAUUGAUUAGAGACCAGCAGUACCGUAAUGACCCGGAAAGAGGGGCAGCCGGGGAUUAUUAAUAUCAGAAUGUCGGGCGAGGGGAGAGCAAACUGGGAAGG